RNAcentral lists this ribosomal RNA (278 nucleotides) under uncultured bacterium. RNAcentral's name for it is "partial 16S ribosomal RNA". It matches the Rfam family "Bacterial small subunit ribosomal RNA", at positions 29 to 334 of the family's 1533-position model. The record is from RNAcentral.
AACGAACGCUGGCGGCAGGCCUAACACAUGCAAGUCGAGCGCUCUCUUCGGAGGGAGCGGCGGACGGGUGAGUAACGCGUGGGAAUAUACCCUUCUCUACGGAAUAGCCUCGGGAAACUGAGAGUAAUACCGUAUACGCCCUUCGGGGGAAAGAUUUAUCGGAGAAGGAUUAGCCCGCGUUAGAUUAGAUAGUUGGUGGGGUAAUGGCCUACCAAGUCUACGAUCUAUAGCUGGUUUUAGAGGACGAUCAGCCACACUGGGACUGAGACACGGCCCAG